UAUACAGAGGCAUUGGAUGAUAGCACAGAGAUAGUAGUGCCACAAGAUGAUUAUGGACUCUAUGCAAUUGACAUUUUGGAUCCUUCACUGAUGGUUAAGUGUGUACACUUGACCGGUGUGUACCAUUUUCAUGAUAUGAUUGAUAUGCUUGUCAAAUGUGGAUAUAAAAAGGGAACUACGUUGUUUGGUUUUGGUUAUGACUUCCGCCAAAGUAAUAGGAUUGACAAGGCAAUGAAUGACCUGAAAGAAAAAUUGGCUACAGCUUAUAAGGCUUCUGGGGGAAGAAAAGUUGAUAUUAUUUCGCAUUCCAUGGGCGGAUUGUUAAUCAAAUGUUUCAUUUCUCUUUAUAGUGAUGUAUUUUCCAAGUAUGUGAAUAAGUGGAUUACCGUUGCCACCCCAUUUCAAG
Molecule: unclassified non-coding RNA, 406 nt
Filed under: Hevea brasiliensis (rubber tree)
Lineage: Eukaryota; Viridiplantae; Streptophyta; Magnoliopsida; Malpighiales; Euphorbiaceae
Source: RNAcentral